AGCUGGAUAAGGUACUCUAUUG
This 22-nucleotide microRNA is filed under the name Sarcophilus harrisii (Tasmanian devil). Its description in RNAcentral is "Sha-Mir-7371-P12a_5p* (star (passenger))". The record is from RNAcentral. RNAcentral also lists the same sequence under 2 other names. Lineage: Eukaryota; Metazoa; Chordata; Mammalia; Dasyuromorphia; Dasyuridae.